RNAcentral lists this ribosomal RNA (713 nucleotides) under uncultured bacterium. Its description in RNAcentral is "bacterial SSU rRNA". It matches the Rfam family "Bacterial small subunit ribosomal RNA", at positions 143 to 848 of the family's 1533-position model. The record is from RNAcentral.
AUAACUGUUGGAAACGAUAGCUAAGACCGCAUAGGUGUGAUAACCGCAUGGAGAUGACAUGAAAUAUGCUACGGCAUAGGUAGAGGAUGGACUUAUGGCGCAUUAGCUAGUUGGAGGGGUAACGGCCCACCAAGGCGACGAUGCGUAGCCGACCUGAGAGGGUGACCGGCCACACUGGGACUGAGACACGGCCCAGACUCCUACGGGAGGCAGCAGUAGGGAAUUUUCGGCAAUGGGGGAAACCCUGACCGAGCAACGCCGCGUGAAGGAAGAAGUAAUUCGUUAUGUAAACUUCUGUCAUAGAGGAAGAACGGUGCGUGUAGGGAAUGACAUGCAAGUGACGGUACUCUAUAAGAAAGCCACGGCUAACUACGUGCCAGCAGCCGCGGUAAUACGUAGGUGGCGAGCGUUAUCCGGAAUUAUUGGGCGUAAAGAGGGAGCAGGCGGCACUAAGGGUCUGUGGUGAAAGAUCGAAGCUUAACUUCGGUAAGCCAUGGAAACCGUAGAGCUAGAGUGUGUGAGAGGAUCGUGGAAUUCCAUGUGUAGCGGUGAAAUGCGUAGAUAUAUGGAGGAACACCAGUGGCGAAGGCGACGAUCUGGCGCAUAACUGACGCUCAGUCCCGAAAGCGUGGGGAGCAAAUAGGAUUAGAUACCCUAGUAGUCCACGCCGUAAACGAUGAGUACUAAGUGUUGGGAGUCAAAUCUCAGUGCUG